This 435-nucleotide ribosomal RNA is filed under the name uncultured bacterium. RNAcentral describes it as "partial 16S ribosomal RNA". It matches the Rfam family "Bacterial small subunit ribosomal RNA", at positions 29 to 507 of the family's 1533-position model. The record is from RNAcentral.
AGCGAACGCUGGCGGCAGGCUUAACACAUGCAAGUCGAGCGGGCACUUUCGGGUGUCAGCGGCGGACGGGUGAGUAACGCGUGGGAACGUGCCCUCUGGUUCGGAAUAACUCAGGGAAACUUGAGCUAAUACCGGAUACGCCCUUUUGGGGAAAGGCUUGCUGCCGGAGGAUCGGCUCGCGUCUGAUUAGCUAGUUGGUGAGGUAACGGCUCACCAAGGCGACGAUCAGUAGCUGGUCUGAGAGGAUGAUCAGCCACACUGGGACUGAGACACGGCCCAGACUCCUACGGGAGGCAGCAGUGGGGAAUAUUGGACAAUGGGCGCAAGCCUGAUCCAGCCAUGCCGCGUGAGUGAUGAAGGCCUUAGGGUUGUAAAGCUCUUUUAUCCGGGACGAUAAUGACGGUACCGGAGGAAUAAGCCCCGGCUAACUUCGUG